UACGGAGGGAGCUAGCGUUGUUCGGAAUUACUGGGCGUAAAGGGCGCGUAGGCGGUGUGUCAAGUCAGGCGUGAAAGCCCCGGGCUCAACCUGGGAACCGCGCUUGAGACUGGCACGCUCGAGUUCGGGAGAGGAUGGUGGAAUUCCCAGUGUAGAGGUGAAAUUCGUAGAUAUUGGGAAGAACACCGAUGGCGAAGGCGGCGAUCUGGGAAGAUACUGACGCUGAGGUGCGAAAGCGUGGGGGAGCAAACAGG
This 254-nucleotide ribosomal RNA is filed under the name uncultured bacterium. Its description in RNAcentral is "partial 16S ribosomal RNA". It matches the Rfam family "Bacterial small subunit ribosomal RNA", at positions 524 to 776 of the family's 1533-position model. The record is from RNAcentral.